RNAcentral lists this ribosomal RNA (1333 nucleotides) under uncultured bacterium. RNAcentral's name for it is "bacterial SSU rRNA". It matches the Rfam family "Bacterial small subunit ribosomal RNA", at positions 28 to 1382 of the family's 1533-position model. The record is from RNAcentral.
GACGAACGCUGGCGGCGCGCCUAACACAUGCAAGUCGAACGAGCGAGAGAGAGCUUGCUUUCUCGAGCGAGUGGCGAACGGGUGAGUAACGCGUGAGGAAUCUGCCUCAAAGAGGGGGACAACAGUUGGAAACGACUGCUAAUACCGCAUAAGCCCACGGUGCCGCAUGGCACAGAGGGAAAAGGAGUAAUCCGCUUUGAGAUGGCCUCGCGUCCGAUUAGCUAGUUGGUGAGGUAACGGCCCACCAAGGCGACGAUCGGUAGCCGGACUGAGAGGUUGAACGGCCACAUUGGGACUGAGACACGGCCCAGACUCCUACGGGAGGCAGCAGUGGGGAAUAUUGCACAAUGGGGGAAACCCUGAUGCAGCGACGCCGCGUGGAGGAAGAAGGUCUUCGGAUUGUAAACUCCUGUUGUUGGGGAAGAUAAUGACGGUACCCAACAAGGAAGUGACGGCUAACUACGUGCCAGCAGCCGCGGUAAAACGUAGGUCACAAGCGUUGUCCGGAAUUACUGGGUGUAAAGGGAGCGCAGGCGGGAAGACAAGUUGGAAGUGAAAUCUAUGGGCUCAACCCAUAAACUGCUUUCAAAACUGUUUUUCUUGAGUAGUGCAGAGGUAGGCGGAAUUCCCGGUGUAGCGGUGGAAUGCGUAGAUAUCGGGAGGAACACCAGUGGCGAAGGCGGCCUACUGGGCACCAACUGACGCUGAGGCUCGAAAGUGUGGGUAGCAAACAGGAUUAGAUACCCUGGUAGUCCACACCGUAAACGAUGAUUACUAGGUGUUGGAGGAUUGACCCCUUCAGUGCCGCAGUUAACACAAUAAGUAAUCCACCUGGGGAGUACGACCGCAAGGUUGAAACUCAAAGGAAUUGACGGGGGCCCGCACAAGCAGUGGAGUAUGUGGUUUAAUUCGACGCAACGCGAAGAACCUUACCAAGUCUUGACAUCCCUUGACAGACAUAGAAAUAUGUAAUCUCUUCGGAGCAAGGAGACAGGUGGUGCAUGGUUGUCGUCAGCUCGUGUCGUGAGAUGUUGGGUUAAGUCCCGCAACGAGCGCAACCCUUAUGGUCAGUUACUACGCAAGAGGACUCUGGCCAGACUGCCGUUGACAAAACGGAGGAAGGUGGGGAUGACGUCAAAUCAUCAUGCCCUUUAUGACUUGGGCUACACACGUACUACAAUGGCGUUAAACAAAGAGAAGCAAGACCGCGAGGUGGAGCAAAACUCAGAAACAACGUCCCAGUUCGGACUGCAGGCUGCAACUCGCCUGCACGAAGUCGGAAUUGCUAGUAAUCGUGGAUCAGCAUGCCACGGUGAAUACGUUCCCGGGCCUU